Molecule: ribosomal RNA, 253 nt
Filed under: uncultured bacterium
Lineage: Bacteria
Description: partial 16S ribosomal RNA
Rfam family: Bacterial small subunit ribosomal RNA
Source: RNAcentral
UACGUAGGUGGCAAGCGUUGUCCGGAUUUACUGGGCGUAAAGAGCGCGCAGGCGGUCAGAUAAGUCGAAUGUGAAAGCCCCCGGUUCAACUGGGGAGGGUCAUUCGAUACUGUUCGACUCGAAGGCAGGAGAGGGAAGUGGAAUUCCCGGUGUAGUGGUGAAAUGCGUAGAUAUCGGGAGGAACACCAGUGGCGAAGGCGACUUCCUGGCCUGUUCUUGACGCUGAGGCGCGAAAGCUAGGGGAGCAAACGGG